Molecule: ribosomal RNA, 336 nt
Filed under: uncultured bacterium
Lineage: Bacteria
Description: partial 16S ribosomal RNA
Rfam family: Bacterial small subunit ribosomal RNA
Source: RNAcentral
CCUACGGGAGGCAGCAGUGGGGGAUAUUGCACAAUGGGGGCAACCCUGAUGCAGCGACGCCGCGUGAGUGAAGAAGUCUUUCGGUAUGUAAAGCUCUAUCAGCAGGGAAGAAAAUGACAGUACCUGUACAAGUAGCCACGGAUAACUACGUGCCAGCAGCCGCGGGAAUACGCAGGGGGCAAGCGUUAGCCGGAUUUACUGGGUGUAAAGGUAGCGUAGACGGUUAUGUAAGUCUGGGGAGAAAGCCCGGGGCCCAACCCGGGGACUGCAUCGGAAACUGGAUAACUGGAGUACCGGAGGGGCAGGUGGAAGUCCGGGUGUAGCGGUGAUAUGCGU